Long non-coding RNA from Danaus plexippus (monarch butterfly), 4834 nucleotides. RefSeq lists it as uncharacterized. The record is from RefSeq and is a predicted model, not a curated record. Lineage: Eukaryota; Metazoa; Arthropoda; Insecta; Lepidoptera; Nymphalidae. The transcript has 4 exons.
CGUUAUGUCCCUCGUUAUUAUCGUGCCUCGAUAAUGUUUUUGUAUAAAGCGUUCCUCCUCUGACUGUAUUUCAGAACGUAUACUAAGUGCUGUGAACUCGGUCGCCUCGUCUUCAUUGUAAGGGCGAGCCCGGACUGUGGGGUCCUGAGGGUCCUGGGGGGUCAUGGGGACUUUGGGGUGCUCUGGGGGCAGAGGGCGGCCUGUCCCUUUUAAGUGCCGGUAAUACAAAGACCCCAGUCCGCAAAUGUGGUGCUGUCAUACAGUAAGCGGGUACAUGUGUGAUGUGAUGCCAUGAAUGAAACGUAACUCGACGUAUGGGCACACGUAAAAGUGAACUUAGUUCAAUGAUACGAUAUGAGAUAACGAGAAAAAGUAUACAUAAUACAAUGUUCUAUAAUAUUAUAAAACAUUACAUCCAAGUGUCAGUAUUAUACUUUUACAAUAUAAUAAUCAAUGAAAACUUUCAUGACUUCAGUUUUGUUGAACACAAGCGUUUCUUGUAACAUUACCUCAUAUUCUUGCGGUGUCAUGUACAAUGUGUUCUUGUUGAGGGUUGAGGGUCAACGUAUCACUUAUUUAAUGGUAAAGAUUAUCUAAGUGUGUAUAAUGUCCAGUUUAAUUCCUCGGAAGAUCGUUAUUCUUCAUUAAUAUGUAUCGAGUUCAUUGGAAUCAUCAUCAAAAUAAACGGACCGAGUUCGAGUGAGGCACUGACCUUCCCUCAGACAUCUCCCGCGCCCCGAGUUCACUCACGCGCAUACUGCUCUGUUGGGUAAAAAAUACAUUUAUUAUAAACAAGGACCCGAAUGAAGACUCUCAGUCAUCCUUCUACUCUCUUAUAAAUUUUAAGCGACGUCGUAAGUUACGGUUUUAUGUUUCUAAAUACCAGCAAGUUUUAAUAAGGUAGAUGCAACUCACCAGUUCGUUUAACUUAGCAAGUUAAGAUUAACUUCGAACUUGUCUGUCAUCUUUUUAAUAUAUUAAAUUAUGUACAUUUACUUUCCCAAAGCUAAUAAAGUUACUUUUUUAAAUGAUCACAAAUUAAUGAAUGAUAACAAAGAAGCGGACGAUACAAGUGUUUGUCAGAAACAAAUCAUAUGUGGCUGAUAACGGUGUGAGGCUGGGCAGGCUGGCUGGGCUGGGUUAACGGACACGGAGCGUGUGGUGCGUCAUCGUGUACUUUCCUUUUUACUGUAUUAGAUCGAUUUGAAUCAACUUAAAUUCCUGCAAAUACACAAACAGCUGUUACAGGGUAGAAGAUAGUUCCAUACUCUACUUGUUAUUUCGUAUUCCUAUUUACAAUUAGUAUUCCAACAUUAAACGUUUCUGUCCCAGGAAAACAAACUUGCGGUAAGCAUUUUUAAUGUAAAAUAGUUAAACCGCGUCUAUUAACAAAACUUCACAAACUCUUAACCCUUCUCUUAACCUUUUUCAAUAACCCUCAACUUAGGAGUCCUCGGCUUUCUUUUCUUUCCGCGACCGCUUUAAGCCGGCCCCCGACAAUUCUUGUGAAAACAUGCGAAACGACUUUUCAGCUUACAUUAUACAAUCAACGCUUUACCUGCGUUAUAAUUAGAAAAGUGUACGUGAUGGUAUUACAGUGGAACAUAAACGAAUAUCCCACGUCACUGAUUAACUUAAUGUAGCAACUGCUUCAAUUACUUGUAACAAAUAAAUCUUAGUUGGAUAGGAAGCUUAACAAUGUCAGGCUCAUCCUAGCGCAGGUGCUGAACCCUAAUCCGUCUAAACCCAGCUGUGAGCUUGACGUAUCACUGCCAGCCUCCCGCGGGUGUUCGCGAUCUUGUUACACGUUAUGCUUUACCAAAAAAAGACAAAAAGAACUAUAUCCUUCAAAAUAAAAAAAUAAGCAACUACAAAAUUAGUUUCAAUUUAUUACUGCUUUUACUGCCCGUUACUGCUCCACAAGCAAAAAAUAUUUUAAAAGGAAAGACAUUUAACUGGCAUAUUCAUAGACUUACUAUGAGUCUAAUACACAGUCCUAUAGAAUUGAUGGGCAAAAGAUGCAAGACAAUGCAAAUAUAUAAUAAAUGUCAAAUACCCGGUACACGCAGGGAAUGUGUUCCAUAGAAGUACAAAAGAAAAGUUUCCUUGACCAUAUUCAUACUAAUAACGCUUACCGAACAUAACUUAAAUUUAAUUCCGACCUCAUGAUUUAAACUCAGAAACUACUUUCAUUUAUUUUUUAUUAAAAAAUCUUCUUCCCUUAAUAAUUUUUGUUUUAUAACUUCAACCCUUUUACUUAUUGAUUUCACCACCAGAGAGAGAGCGCGCUUAUUUUUGGUCAAUUUAUAUUCAGCAGCUUAAAUCUAUUCCCCCCGCCAAAGUUUGUCCCGGCGGCGACCGGCGGCCGAAGCGCUGAGUGUGUUGCGGCCUCAGAGUCCACAGGCAGCGGUGCCCGAAUAUUUCAGACCGACGUCGCCUUCGCCCGAAUCUUUGACCUCUCAAGUUAAAACUUAUUUGUGGCAGCUCUCUUACAUUCUUAAUUACACAAAAUUAAAUUCAAUCAUUGUGUUAAAGACUUACAAAGUUAUUAUAGUCCUAAGUGGGUUUUAUGAACCGCCGCCCGCUUUGAUAACUCGAGAAGCCUUUUACCGUCCCACAAUAAUAACUUUAAAGCCUUAAAAGCCCAAUAAAUUCCCCAUAUUUUUUUAGUCUUUAUUGUUUUCAGGUUAGCAAAUCUAUGUAUAUAAUAUUUUUUAAUAAGAAAGAAAUUAUUCCCAAUAAUAUAAAAAAGAGAGUCUUCAUUUCAAAAUAAUAUUUUCUAUUGUAUUAAAAUUGAAGAAAAAAAUUCUAUUUCCUAUAUUAAAAAUGUACUGUACCUUUACAUUAAAGUUAUUUAUAUUUUUUUAAAGAAAAUAAUAGUUUUUUUUUAUUGGGAAUAUAAAAACGAGAUUCAAUUGUAAUCCAAUGGAACGACCCCUGACAAAUGAGAGGAAUAGAGAACAAUUGUCAAACGGCCUACAAUGUACUUACAUUAAAAUGAAAUACACGUACCGACAAACUGGACGUCAUCAAUAAUAUAUUGAGCUGUGUCUUGAGCAUGUUAAUAACGUCAGAUUGAAGUCAUAGUAUAAUAUCUCCGCUUAUUUAAAGAGAAUCUCUCUCGCUGUGGAUCGUUUCGUCUCAGCUGACAAUAAUGUUUUUAUAGAGAGCCAUUAUUUGGAGCGAAUAUUGUCUGUUCUAUUUACGAGAUGGAGUCGCUGGAGUGAGAUGGGGCGUGGGAUGAAGCAACAGUUGAUAUUCAGCGACUGUUGUUGGUAAUGUUUUAUGACAAGGAAAAUACAAGGCAACUUAAGGAGGUCACAGACACAGGACACGCGCCCAUCGACGCUCUUCCCGACGUCACGGUUCAUUUGUCUUUAACUUGUUUUGUUUUUUGUUUAGACUGUAGUGUCUCGUUGAGUUUUCUGGACGGCGCCACUUACGAAAUUAAUUGUCUUAUGAAUUUUGAAGAUCACCUUAUUUUAUUCUAGACUCGGUAUUUUCUAUGAGGUAGUCCUUUCUUACAAACUUACUCACGUCCAAUACUCAAUACAAGACUCGUCUUCAAAACCGUUGUUUUCCCCUUACUUUUCAUAUGCCACAUUUAUAUUCCUAAUUGAAUUUACCCACUUUAGUCAAACAAUAGUUCGAAAUUUAGUUUCUUUGAUCUAUUUUAUCGUCUCCAAAAUUAAUUUCUUUGUUGCUGGAUUUAUUAGCUGGUUGUAAGCGGAUCUCCUAAAAUAUCGAAUUUUCGAGAGCGAAGCCGUCGGUGAGCUAGCUCUAUAAAAGCGAUUAUAAACAUCGCUAUACAAACAGACGAGUGCACACGAGGCCUAUUACGAGUGAGUGCACCCGCCACACAGCCUCGUAACUGUUAACACCAUAUAAUGCCGAUGGAUCCAAUGUAGGUCGUGGUUCAUCUGCAAAUACUCGACCUUCAAUCAAGUGACUCCGGACAUCAUGAAAGCUUCCCUUAUACUACACCAAGAUAAACUUAACAUUGGUAAUAUAACGCAAUAAAAUCAGGAUUCUCUUCUCUGUUGGAAGUCACCGCUGCUACUGAAACAAUCUGUUUUUCUUAUUACUUUAUUACUUGUCGGUGGAGUUUAUUACGCGUGUGUUAUAUUAUUAACAUAUAAUAUAUUCGACUGUCUUCAUUGUUCGCCGAUGUGAGAUCACAGCGUUGUGUCGUUAUUCAACUCCUACCUUUAUUAUUAUAAGUCUGCAUCGCACACUUCUCACAGAGCGUCUAUCGUUUCUCAUUCAAUAAGCUACGUUGAUACUAUGCUCUGCGAAAGUUUAUGACUUUAUGUUUAGCUGUUAACUCUGCGUCUGGUUCGCGACGACGCGGACUUACGAUAAUCAUGGUGCUUUAUAAAGUUAGGUAGUUCGUCUUUCGAUCACAUAUCGAUUUCACUACACUAAUGCCUGCACUAUACUAUGCCGAUUGCUAUUGCUAUUAUUUUAUGUAACUUUUCCCAUCCUUGUAUUUGUAUGUUUUUCAUAUAAUACUAUUUUUGUUUCUUUGAACAAGAGAAACAUGAAAGAAAUCUGGAUGUCUACAUUAUUAAACAUGUUUAUUAUUUCAUAGAAUUUAGCUAUUCAUUAUUAUUACUCACGAUUUGAUUGUUUUUUUUUUUUUAAUUUUUCACUACAAAAUCUAAACAUUCUCUUCGAGUCUCUUGUACUAAAUCUGUUUGGCAGAAAUCCCAAAUAAACAAUAGUAUUGUUCUUUUGUUUAACUUCAACUGCUUUUUGUUCUUUUGUUUGUUUUUUUUCUAUCGACAGAAAAAUUAUAAAGGUAUUUAUUAUAUUAAAUGGGAUUUCAUUAAAA